This is a non-coding RNA of Paramuricea clavata, 311 nucleotides long. The record is from the annotation of a GenBank genome assembly. NCBI's taxonomy places the organism in Eukaryota, Metazoa, Cnidaria, Anthozoa, Malacalcyonacea, Plexauridae.
ACCUUGGAUGAUGGCGGGAACAAAGACAACUCCAAAUAAUACAAAUAUCUUUAAAGAAAGCAUGGUAUGAAAAUUUUUCAGACGCAUAUAUCAGAUUUUGCGUUGUAACUCGUAGCAGCGCUGAUACGGGAUGUUUUUGACAUUACCGAUGCAAACAGUUUAUGUAAUAUGAUAUAUUGGCCUUCUUGUGGCUCACAGGAGAAUAAUACUUCCGCAUACUGAUUAAAGUAUUGUUCUCUGUAAGACCACGCUUUUCGAAAAAUAAUGUACUACAUAUGGUACCAUGUUCCUGACCCUGACUGGAAAGUUUG